RNAcentral lists this ribosomal RNA (256 nucleotides) under uncultured bacterium. RNAcentral describes it as "partial 16S ribosomal RNA". It matches the Rfam family "Bacterial small subunit ribosomal RNA", at positions 80 to 354 of the family's 1533-position model. The record is from RNAcentral.
CACCACAUAAUGAGAGUAGCGCACUGGUGAGUAACACGUGGGAACAUACCUUGAAGUGGGGGACAACAGAGGGAAACUUCUGCUAAUACCGCAUAAUCCCUGAGGGGAAAGAUUUAUCGCUUUAAGAUUGGCCCGCGGAAGAUUAGGUAGUUGGUGGGGUAAAGGCCUACCAAGCCGACGAUCUAUAGCUGGUCUGAGAGGACGAACAGCCACAUUGGAACUGAGACACGGUCCAGACUCCUACGGAAGGCAGCAG